RNAcentral lists this ribozyme (71 nucleotides) under Rodentolepis nana. RNAcentral's name for it is "Hymenolepis nana HDV ribozyme from F. prausnitzii". It matches the Rfam family "HDV ribozyme from F. prausnitzii". Lineage: Eukaryota; Metazoa; Platyhelminthes; Cestoda; Cyclophyllidea; Hymenolepididae. The record is from Rfam by way of RNAcentral.
GGGGUGCGCAAUAGACUUACCUCCACGUGGUGCAUCCUGGGCAACGUGUACUUACACGGCAAAAAGUCUAU